CCCUUAGAUGUUCUGGGCCGCACGCGCGCUAAACUGACGAUGGCAACGAGUUUUUCCUUCGCCGAAAGGUGUGGGUAAUCUUUUGAAACAUCGUCGUGCUGGGGAUAGAUCAUUGCAAUUUUUGAUCUUGAACGAGGAAUUCCUAGUAAGCGCGAGUCAUCAGCUCGCGUUGAUUACGUCCCUGCCCUUUGUACACACCGCCCGUCGCUACUACCGAUUGAAUGGUUUAGUGAGGACUCCUGAUUGGCGCCGCCGCCCCGGCAACGGAGCAGCGGACUGCCGAAAAGUUGUUCAAACUUGAUCAUUUAGAGGAAGUAAAAGUCGUAACA
Molecule: ribosomal RNA, 329 nt
Filed under: uncultured eukaryote
Lineage: Eukaryota
Description: partial 18S ribosomal RNA
Rfam family: Eukaryotic small subunit ribosomal RNA
Source: RNAcentral